This 501-nucleotide ribosomal RNA is filed under the name uncultured bacterium. Its description in RNAcentral is "partial 16S ribosomal RNA". It matches the Rfam family "Bacterial small subunit ribosomal RNA", at positions 30 to 523 of the family's 1533-position model. The record is from RNAcentral.
AUUGAACGCUGGCGGCAGGCUUAACACAUGCAAGUCGAGCGGGGGAAGGUAGCUUGCUACCGGACCUAGCGGCGGACGGGUGAGUAAUGCUUAGGAAUCUGCCUAUUAGUGGGGGACAACAUCUCGAAAGGGAUGCUAGUACCGCAUACGUCCUACGGGAGAAAGCAGGGGAUCUUCGGACCUUGCGCUAAUAGAUGAGCCUAAGUCGGAUUAGCUAGUUGGUGGGGUAAAGGCCUACCAAGGCGACGAUCUGUAGCGGGUCUGCGAGGAUGAUCCGCCACACUGGGACUGGGUCGCGGCCCAGGCUACUACGGGAGGCAGCAGUGGGGAAUAUUGGACAAUGGGGUGACCCCUGAUCCAGCCAUGCCGCGUGUGUGAAGAAGGCCUUAUGGUUGUAAAGCACUUUAAGCGAGGAGGAGGCGACUCUAGUUAAUACCUAGGGAUAGUGGACGUUACUCGCAGAAUAAGCACCGGCUAACUCUGUGCCAGCCGCCGCCGUAA